This 396-nucleotide ribosomal RNA is filed under the name Triticum aestivum (bread wheat). Its description in RNAcentral is "partial small subunit ribosomal RNA". Lineage: Eukaryota; Viridiplantae; Streptophyta; Magnoliopsida; Poales; Poaceae. The record is from RNAcentral.
AUGGGCGCCCGCGCCGGCACCCCCCUCACCCCUUCCUACACCUGCGACCCCUCCGCCGCCGCCGCAAACCCUAGCGCGGGGAGCUUUGGAGCUACCAUGGAGACCAUGGAAGUCUUAGGUGGCUUCGGAGCACCUCCGGGCGGCAUGGGCGGCAUGGGAGGCAUGAGUUUUGCGUCUCUCAUAGGAGGCAUGGGAGCACCUCCGGGCGGAAUGUCUUCCGGUGUGCCUCACACACCUUCGCAUGAAGAUGCCGUUGAAGAUCUUGCCAACACCUUCCGAGCUUCACAUGAUGAUGCGGCGCGCGACAAUGAAGAGGAGGAGGAAGAAUCGUCUUUGGAGGAGGAGGAUGAAUCGGAGGACGAUGAGAUGAAGACGAGGACGAGGCUUGAUUGUUGA